UUUAAUUAUAAACUUAUUUAAGUUUGAUUGUACCUUUUGCAUCAUGAUUAAAUGAUUAUUUAUCUAGUUUAUAGUACAUUCGAAAUUAUGUGAUCUUAUUAUAGUUAUUUUUAUUUGGGUAAUAUAAAACUAAAUUGUAGUAAGAAGUGAUAAGUUAUACGUACAUAAUUAUAUCUAAUUAGAGGUUACUUUACUAAAUAUAUUUUAUUAUAUAUUUAGGGGUUAUUUGUUUAAUUAAUAUUUAUUAAUUUUGGAUUAAUAUUACCCUUUAUCUUGUUAUAAAGUCUUUUAUAGAUAAAUAGCAAUUUCUUAGUACCUCUCUCAUAUAACUACUUUAGUAGAUUGUGUUAUAAAUAAGUAUAUAAAUAAUAGUAAUUUUUCUCGUAAUAAUCCGAACUGUUUAUUAAAAACAUUUCCUAUUAUAAAGUUUUAUAGGUAACCCCUGCUCAUCGUUAUAAGUUUUAUAACAAGAAUCCGCAUUAUUUUGACUGUGCUAAGGUAGCAUAAUUAAUUGCCUUCUAAAUAGAGGAUUGUCUGAAUGGGGAUAAUUGGGUUUAAUUUAAGAUUACUAUUUUUAGAAAUUAGUUUGUAGUUGCAGAACACUACUUUAUUUUAUAAGACGGAAAGACCCUAAGAGCUUAGUUUCUUUUAUUUUGGGCAAAGCUAUUAUAUUAAUUAGUUUAUAAUCCUAUUAGGGAAAAAAUAAAGUUACCUUAGGGAUAACAGGGUUAGAUGUAUUUAGAGUUCUUAUCAAUAUACAUAAAUGCCACCUCGAUGUUGACUUAAAUUUACUUUAUUGUGUAGAAGCUUUAAUAGUAAGCCUGUUCGGCUUUUAAAAUUUUUCAUGAGUUGAGUUAAGACCGGUGUAAGCCAGGUCGGUUCUUAUCUAUAACUGGUCUACUAUAGUACGAAAGGAUUUAGUAGUAAAUAUUUUAUUAUAAUUUAUAAUUUACA
Molecule: ribosomal RNA, 954 nt
Filed under: Gyrodactylus gurleyi
Lineage: Eukaryota; Metazoa; Platyhelminthes; Monogenea; Gyrodactylidea; Gyrodactylidae
Description: 16S ribosomal RNA
Rfam family: Archaeal large subunit ribosomal RNA (bases 613-892)
Source: RNAcentral